AUAAUUAUUUGGUGAAAAUCUCUUCAAUGGCAUUGAAGAGGUCAGCGGUUCGAACCCGCUAUGCUCCACCA
RNAcentral lists this transfer RNA (71 nucleotides) under Caudoviricetes sp. RNAcentral describes it as "tRNA-Ala". The record is from RNAcentral. Lineage: Duplodnaviria; Heunggongvirae; Uroviricota; Caudoviricetes.